Molecule: ribosomal RNA, 351 nt
Filed under: Dehalococcoidia bacterium
Lineage: Bacteria; Bacillati; Chloroflexota; Dehalococcoidia
Description: bacterial LSU rRNA
Rfam family: Bacterial large subunit ribosomal RNA
Source: RNAcentral
UCGCCGGUUAAAGGGGUACGUGAGUUGGGUUCAGAACGUCGUGAGACAGUUCGGUCUCUAUCCGCCGUGGGCGCAGGAGGCUUGAGGGAACCUUUCCCUAGUACGAGAGGACCGGGAAGGACAAACCUAUGGUGUUCCAGUUGUUCCGCCAGGAGCAUCGCUGGGUAGCUAUGUUUGGCAGCGAUAAGAGCUGAAGGCAUCUAAGCUCGAAGCAUCCCCCAAGAUGAGGCCUCCCUCCCCGAUUAAGUUCGGGGGUAAGACAGCAGCGAGACUAGCUGCUUGAUAGGUCGGAUGUGUAAGUAGGGCAACCUAUUCAGCAUACCGAUACUAACCAGUCGAGAGAUUUGACCC